GACUAACUGGAUAUAGGGAAAGAGUGUUA
This 29-nucleotide non-coding RNA is filed under the name Homo sapiens (human). The record is from RNAcentral. Lineage: Eukaryota; Metazoa; Chordata; Mammalia; Primates; Hominidae.